RNAcentral lists this long non-coding RNA (238 nucleotides) under Brassica napus (rape). RNAcentral's name for it is "long non-coding RNA (BNAP_LNC003652)". Lineage: Eukaryota; Viridiplantae; Streptophyta; Magnoliopsida; Brassicales; Brassicaceae. The record is from RNAcentral.
UUUUCUUGUUUUAUACUAAAAUUUUAGUUAACAGUGAUUUACAACAAUAUUAUAUUACUAAUUAUGAAAUUAAUUAAUGUUUUACUUUAUAAAAAUAGUUAGAUUCUUUCCCAAGAGUUUUGUUAUAAUUAAAGAGAAUUUGUACUCCCUACACACAAAAUCUACCCUAUUUGCACUCCAUACUUUAUUUCCCCUAAAUUUUCUUCACCCCAUCAUUACCAUUUUUUCCCCAUUCUAU